RNAcentral lists this ribosomal RNA (253 nucleotides) under uncultured bacterium. RNAcentral's name for it is "partial 16S ribosomal RNA". It matches the Rfam family "Bacterial small subunit ribosomal RNA", at positions 524 to 776 of the family's 1533-position model. The record is from RNAcentral.
UACAGAGGUGGCAAGCGUUGUUCGGAAUUACUGGGCGUAAAGGGCGCGUAGGCGGCCUCGCAAGUCCCGUGUGAAAUCCCUCGGCUCAACUGAGGAAUGGCACGGGAAACUGCGGGGCUUGAGUUCGGGAGAGGGAAGCGGAAUUCCGGGUGUAGCGGUGAAAUGCGUAGAUAUCCGGAGGAACACCGGUGGCGAAGGCGGCUUCCUGGCCCGAUACUGACGCUGAGGCACGAAAGCGUGGGGAGCAAACAGG